AGACUUAAUUACUUCUCUGUCUACUUUUCUUACUCCAUGUAGGUUUCCCAGAGACUAUGGGUUGAGGAGGAAUUGGAAGUUUGUCGGCUUAGACCUGUGUCAUUCCAUCAGUGUUAAACUUCCCGGCUCAUCUUGGAAGAGUACGUGCCAGAAAGACCACAACCAAGCAGCCUUGAGAUCUUAGGCAGCGUCUCCCUCAGGUUGCUCUCUAUCUCCCCACACAUCCACCAACCACUGGAACACAUCUCCAAAGUUCUGCCGGGCCAGUUCAGCUUCCCCUCAGAAGAAGU
Amphiprion ocellaris (clown anemonefish) is the source of this 290-nucleotide long non-coding RNA. The record is from Ensembl. Lineage: Eukaryota; Metazoa; Chordata; Actinopteri; Pomacentridae.